UUCCGGUUGAUCCCGCCGGACCCUACUGCUAUCGGGGGAGGACUAAAACAUGCAAGUCGUGCGCCUCCAAGCCAUGGUGGAGACGCGGCAUCCGGCUCAGUAACACGUGGCUAACCCACCCUUGAGACGGAGAAAACCCCGGGAAACUGGGGUUAAUCUCCGAUAAGAGAAGACACCUGGAAUGGAUCUCCUCUCAAAGGGCGCCUAGACCAUGCUUCUGGGCGUUGCUCAAGGACGGGGCCGCGGCCGAUCAGGUUGUUGGUGAGGUAACGGCUCACCAAGCCUAUAACCGGUACGGGCCGUGAGAGCGGGAGCCCGGAGAUGGGCACUGAGACAAGGGCCCAGGCCCUACGGGGCGCAGCAGUUGCGAAAACUCCGCAAUGCACGAAAGUGUGACGGGGCUACCCCGAGUGCCGUCCGCUGAGGGCGGCUUCUCCCCGGUGUAAGGAGCCGGGGGAAUAAGGAAAGGGCAAGUCUGGUGUCAGCCGCCGCGGUAAUACCAGCUCUCCGAGUGGUAGGGAUGAUUAUUGGGCUUAAAGCGUCCGUAGCCGGCUCGGCAAGUCUUCCGUUAAAUCCAACGAUUCAAUCGUUGGACUGCUGGAGAUACUGUUGGGCUAGGAGGCGGGAGAGGCCGACGGUAUUCUCGGGGUAGGGGUAAAAUCCUAUAAUCCCGGGAGGACCACCAGUGGCGAAGGCGGUCGGCUAGAACGCGCUCGACGGUGAGGGACGAAAGCUGGGGGAGCGAACCGGAUUAGAUACCCGGGUAGUCCCAGCUGUAAACGAUGCGGGCUAGGUGUUGGGGCGGCUACGGGCCGCUUCAGUGCCGCAGGGAAACCAUUAAGCCCGCCGCCUGGGGAGUACGGCCGCAAGGCUGAAACUUAAAGGAAUUGG
Molecule: ribosomal RNA, 891 nt
Filed under: uncultured archaeon
Lineage: Archaea
Description: bacterial SSU rRNA
Rfam family: Archaeal small subunit ribosomal RNA
Source: RNAcentral